GACGAACGCUGGCGGCGUGCUUAACACAUGCAAGUCGAACGAUGAACCACUUCGGUGGGGAUUAGUGGCGAACGGGUGAGUAACACGUGGGCAAUCUGCCCUUCACUCUGGGACAAGCCCUGGAAACGGGGUCUAAUACCGGAUACAACACUCUCGGGCAUCCGAUGAGUGUGGAAAGCUCCGGCGGUGAAGGAUGAGCCCGCGGCCUAUCAGCUUGUUGGUGAGGUAACGGCUCACCAAGGCGACGACGGGUAGCCGGCCUGAGAGGGCGACCGGCCACACUGGGACUGAGACACGGCCCAGACUCCUACGGGAGGCAGCAGUGGGGAAUAUUGCACAAUGGGCGAAAGCCUGAUGCAGCGACGCCGCGUGAGGGAUGACGGCCUUCGGGUUGUAAACCUCUUUCAGCAGGGAAGAAGCGAAAGUGACGGUACCUGCAGAAGAAGCGCCGGCUAACUACGUGCCAGCCGCCGCAGUAAGAC
This 482-nucleotide ribosomal RNA is filed under the name uncultured bacterium. Its description in RNAcentral is "bacterial SSU rRNA". It matches the Rfam family "Bacterial small subunit ribosomal RNA", at positions 28 to 526 of the family's 1533-position model. The record is from RNAcentral.